RNAcentral lists this ribosomal RNA (429 nucleotides) under Gemmatimonadota bacterium. Its description in RNAcentral is "Gemmatimonadetes bacterium partial 16S ribosomal RNA". It matches the Rfam family "Bacterial small subunit ribosomal RNA", at positions 355 to 776 of the family's 1533-position model. The record is from RNAcentral. Lineage: Bacteria; Pseudomonadati; Gemmatimonadota.
UAGGGAAUCUUCGGCAAUGGACGAAAGUCUGACCGAGCAACGCCGCGUGAGUGAAGAAGGUUUUCGGAUCGUAAAACUCUGUUGUUAGAGAAGAACAAGGACGUUAGUAACUGAACGUCCCCUGACGGUAUCUAACCAGAAAGCCACGGCUAACUACGUGCCAGCAGCCGCGGUAAUACGUAGGUGGCAAGCGUUGUCCGGAUUUAUUGGGCGUAAAGCGAGCGCAGGCGGUUUCUUAAGUCUGAUGUGAAAGCCCCCGGCUCAACCGGGGAGGGUCAUUGGAAACUGGGAGACUUGAGUGCAGAAGAGGAGAGUGGAAUUCCAUGUGUAGCGGUGAAAUGCGUAGAUAUAUGGAGGAACACCAGUGGCGAAGGCGGCUCUCUGGUCUGUAACUGACGCUGAGGCUCGAAAGCGUGGGGAGUAAACAGG